CCUACGGGGGGCAGCAGUGAGGAAUAUUGGUCAAUGGGCGCGAGCCUGAUCCAGCCAAGUAGCGUGAAGGAUGACUGCCCUACGGGUUGUAAACUUCUUUUAUAAAGGAAUAAAGUGAGGCACGUGUGCCUUUUUGUAUGUACUUUAUGACUAAGGAUCGGCUAACUCCGUGCCAGCAGCCGCGGUAAUACGGAGGAUCCGAGCGUUAUCCGGAUUUAUUGGGUUUAAAGGGAGCGUAGAUGGGUUGUUAAGUCAGUUGUGAAAGUUUGCGGCUCAACCGUAAAAUUGCAAUUGAUACUGGCAGUCUUGAGUACAGUUGAGGUAGGCGGAAUUCGUGGUGUAGCGGUGAAAUGCUUAGAUAUCACGAAGAACUCCGAUUGCGAAGGCAGCUUACUAAACUGCCACUGACAUUGAUGCUCGAAAGUGUGGGUAUCAAACAGGAUUAGAUACCCGAGUAGUC
RNAcentral lists this ribosomal RNA (460 nucleotides) under uncultured bacterium. Its description in RNAcentral is "partial 16S ribosomal RNA". It matches the Rfam family "Bacterial small subunit ribosomal RNA", at positions 338 to 795 of the family's 1533-position model. The record is from RNAcentral.